RNAcentral lists this ribosomal RNA (872 nucleotides) under uncultured delta proteobacterium. RNAcentral's name for it is "bacterial SSU rRNA". It matches the Rfam family "Bacterial small subunit ribosomal RNA", at positions 157 to 1051 of the family's 1533-position model. Lineage: Bacteria; Deltaproteobacteria. The record is from RNAcentral.
UUGAACGCGAAGCUGUAUCUGAUAGCAGCUCUCGGUGCUGUAAGUGAGUCUCGACUAGGCAGAGAGACUGCGUCCAUAGUAGUGCGUGUAUAGCCACAAGCGCGAUGGUAGUGUUCGAGAGAUAUCACCACACUGCACUGAACACGGCCAGAUCUACGGGAGGCAGCAGUGGGAAUAUGCGCAUGGGCGAAAGCUGACGCAGCAGCGCCGCGUGAGUGAUGAAGGUCUCGGAUCGUAAAGCUCUGUCGGCAGGGAAGAAAACUUGGUGACCUAAUACGUCAUCAGGCUGACGGUACCUGCAAAGGAAGCACCGGCUAACUCUGUGCCAGCAGCCGCGGUAAUACAGAGGGUGCUAGCGUUGUUCGGAAUUAUUGGGCGUAAAGAGCGCGUAGGCGGUUUGCUAAGUCUGGUGUGAAAGCCCUCGGCUUAACUGAGGAAGUGCAUUGGAUACUGGCAGGCUUGAGUGUGAGAGAGGAUUGUGGAAUUCCUGGUGUAGCGGUGAAAUGCGUAGAUAUCAGGAGGAACACCGGUGGCGAAGGCGGCAAUCUGGAUCAUAACUGACGCUGAGGCGCGAAAGCGUGGGUAGCAAACAGGAUUAGAUACCCUGGUAGUCCACGCCGUAAACGAUGGAUGCUAGGUGUUGCAGGCUUCAACCCCUGCAGUGCCGCAGCUAACGCAUUAAGCAUCCCGCCUGGGGAGUACGGUCGCAAGACUAAAACUCAAAGGAAUUGACGGGGGCCCGCACAAGCGGUGGAGCAUGUGGUUUAAUUCGACGCAACGCGAAGAACCUUACCCAGACUUGACAUCCUAGGAACCUGCUAGAAAUAGUGGGGUGCCCUUCGGGGAGCCUAGAGACAGGUGCUGCAUGGCUG